AGAUUGAACGCUGGCGGCAUGCCUUACACAUGCAAGUCGAACGGCAGCACGGGAGCAACCCUGGUGGCGAGUGGCGAACGGGUGAGUAAUAUAUCGGAACGUGCCCAGUCGUGGGGGAUAACGCAGCGAAAGCUGUGCUAAUACCGCAUACGAUCUCUGGAUGAAAGCGGGGGACUCGCAAGAGCCUCGCGCGAUUGGAGCGGCCGAUAUCAGAUUAGCUAGUUGGUGGGGUAAAAGCCCACCAAGGCGACGAUCUGUAGCUGGUCUGAGAGGACGACCAGCCACACUGGAACUGAGACACGGUCCAGACUCCUACGGGAGCAGCAGUGGGAAUUUUGGACAAUGGGCGCAAGCCUGAUCCAGCAAUGCCGCGUGCAGGAAGAAGGCCUUGGUGUAACUGUACUUUGUACGAACGAACGUCGUAGGUUAAUACCGU
RNAcentral lists this ribosomal RNA (436 nucleotides) under uncultured soil bacterium. RNAcentral describes it as "bacterial SSU rRNA". It matches the Rfam family "Bacterial small subunit ribosomal RNA", at positions 26 to 468 of the family's 1533-position model. The record is from RNAcentral.